This 253-nucleotide ribosomal RNA is filed under the name uncultured bacterium. Its description in RNAcentral is "partial 16S ribosomal RNA". It matches the Rfam family "Bacterial small subunit ribosomal RNA", at positions 524 to 776 of the family's 1533-position model. The record is from RNAcentral.
UACGUAGGUGGCAAGCGUUGCUCGGAAUCACUGGGCGUAAAGCGCACGUAGGCGGAUCUUUAAGUCAGGGGUGAAAUCCCAAGGCUCAACCUUGGAACUGCCUUUGAUACUGGGGAUCUCGAGUCCGGAAGAGGUGAGUGGAACUGCGAGUGUAGAGGUGAAAUUCGUAGAUAUUCGCAAGAACACCAGUGGCGAAGGCGGCUCACUGGUCCGGUACUGACGCUGAGGUGCGAAAGCGUGGGGAGCAAACAGG